Molecule: transfer RNA, 69 nt
Filed under: Propeamussium sp. mt1
Lineage: Eukaryota; Metazoa; Mollusca; Bivalvia; Pectinida; Propeamussiidae
Description: tRNA-Trp
Source: RNAcentral
CAGAAGUUAGGUUAACAUAAACCGUAAGUUUCCAAAACUUAAAAUGAGACUGUGUAGUUUUACUUUUGG